RNAcentral lists this ribosomal RNA (482 nucleotides) under uncultured bacterium. RNAcentral's name for it is "partial 16S ribosomal RNA". It matches the Rfam family "Bacterial small subunit ribosomal RNA", at positions 30 to 507 of the family's 1533-position model. The record is from RNAcentral.
AUUGAACGCUGGCGGCAUGCUUUACACAUGCAAGUCGAACGGUAACAGGCCGCAAGGUGCUGACGAGUGGCGAACGGGUGAGUAAUGCAUCGGAACGUGCCCAGUCGUGGGGGAUAACUACUCGAAAGAGUAGCUAAUACCGCAUACGAUCUAUGGAUGAAAGCGGGGGACCGUAAGGCCUCGCGCGAUUGGAGCGGCCGAUGUCAGAUUAGGUAGUUGGUGGGGUAAAGGCUCACCAAGCCAACGAUCUGUAGCUGGUCUGAGAGGACGACCAGCCACACUGGGACUGAGACACGGCCCAGACUCCUACGGGAGGCAGCAGUGGGGAAUUUUGGACAAUGGGCGCAAGCCUGAUCCAGCAAUGCCGCGUGCAGGAAGAAGGCCUUCGGGUUGUAAACUGCUUUUGUACGGAACGAAACGGCUCUGGUAAAUACCCGGGGCUAAUGACGGUACCGUAAGAAUAAGCACCGGCUAACUACGUG